CAAACCCACCAAGAGUGCACCCCAAUAUAAACUAUGGUCUCUGAGUGAUAACGAUAUGUCAAGGUUGAAAUAAUCCUAAGUGACAUGACUAUUUAAUGUGGUGUGAAGACCUUGUCUGGACCUGGAUUUGAAAUGACCAAAAUAAACAGAUGGUAAUCAUCUCAAGACAGACCACCACCAGAGCAGAAAUCUGGAGAAUGGCAAGGGGAAGGGACAGGAUGCUCAUGUCUCCUUCAGGUAUAUGUUAACAGUGAUUUGAUAUCUAUGGGAUGUUUCCUCUUGGAAACUUGUGAGAAGACCAAGCUUCACAGCCAGGUCCCAUGGAAAAGAAUGAGAAGCUCUAGUCAACAUCUCAAUAGACCUUCCAGCUAACAGCUGGCAUCAAUUGCCAGUCAUGAGACUGGGCUACACUGGACAUCCAACCCAGCUGCUAACUGCAAACAUGUAAGAAACUCCAAGAGGCAGUCCCUCCUCCCUCAUGCAGCCCCAUCCCUGUUCCAUCGGAUUCUGCAAGCACUUCCAAUGGACAUGUCCAGACUACAUUUUAUCCUGACGCAGAAUAAGAAUACCUGGGAAAGAGCAGCACACUGCAGUGAUUCAGUGAGAUGAGAGCAGCAGGCACCUGCCAACAUAUGACAAGUCGUAAUGGAAGCCUGAGUACAAGUGGCAGGACCUGGAUUCCUCACU
Molecule: long non-coding RNA, 687 nt
Organism: Canis lupus familiaris (dog)
Lineage: Eukaryota; Metazoa; Chordata; Mammalia; Carnivora; Canidae
Exons: 6
Source: RefSeq, a predicted model, not a curated record